AGAUGAGAUGAGUAUUCUAAGGCGCGUGAAACUCUGGUUAAGGAACUCUGCAAACUAGCACCGUAAGUUCGCGAUAAGGUGUGCCACAGCGAUGUGGUCUCAGCAAAGAGUCCCUCCCGACUGUUUACCAAAAACACAGCACUUUGCCAACUCGUAAGAGGAAGUAUAAGGUGUGACGCCUGCCCGGUGCUCGAAGGUUAAGAGGAUGCGUCAGUCGCAAGAUGAAGCGUUGAAUUGAAGCCCGAGUAAACGGCGGCCGUAACUAUAACGGUCCUAAGGUAGCGAAAUUCCUUGUCGGUUAAAUACCGACCUGCAUGAAUGGCGUAACGAGAUGGGAGCUGUCUCAACCAGAGAUUCAGUGAAAUUGUAGUGGAGGUGAAAAUUCCUCCUACCCGCGGCAAGACGGAGAAACCCCGUGGACCUUUACUACAACUUAGCACUGCUAAUGGGA
This 451-nucleotide ribosomal RNA is filed under the name Helicobacter pylori. Its description in RNAcentral is "partial 23S ribosomal RNA". It matches the Rfam family "Bacterial large subunit ribosomal RNA", at positions 1665 to 2128 of the family's 2925-position model. Lineage: Bacteria; Pseudomonadati; Campylobacterota; Epsilonproteobacteria; Campylobacterales; Helicobacteraceae. The record is from RNAcentral.